This 394-nucleotide ribosomal RNA is filed under the name uncultured bacterium. RNAcentral's name for it is "bacterial SSU rRNA". It matches the Rfam family "Bacterial small subunit ribosomal RNA", at positions 30 to 422 of the family's 1533-position model. The record is from RNAcentral.
AUUGAACGCUGGCGGCAGGCCUAACACAUGCAAGUCGAGCGGUAGAGAGGUGCUUGCAUCUCUUGAGAGCGGCGGACGGGUGAGUAAUGCCUAGGAAUCUGCCUAGUGGUGGGGGAUAAACGUUCGGAAACGGACGCUAAUACCGCAUACGUCCUACGGGAGAAAGCGGGGGAUCUUCGGACCUCGCGCCAUUAGAUGAGCCUAGGUCGGAUUAGCUAGUUGGUGAGGUAAUGGCUCACCAAGGCGACGAUCCGUAACUGGUCUGAGAGGAUGAUCAGUCACACUGGAACUGAGACACGGCCCAGACUCCUACGGGAGGCAGCAGUGGGGAAUAUUGGACAAUGGGCGAAAGCCUGAUCCAGCCAUGCCGCGUGUGUGAAGAAGGUACUUCGGA